This 23-nucleotide small nuclear RNA is filed under the name Arabidopsis thaliana (thale cress). RNAcentral's name for it is "snRNA_05238". The record is from RNAcentral. Lineage: Eukaryota; Viridiplantae; Streptophyta; Magnoliopsida; Brassicales; Brassicaceae.
ACUGAUUUCCGGAUCUGAAUAAA